CCUACGGGAGGCAGCAGUGAGGAAUAUUGGUCAAUGGGCGAGAGCCUGAACCAGCCAAGUCGCGUGAAGGAUGAAGGAUCUAUGGUUUGUAAACUUCUUUUAUAUGGGAAUAAAGUGAGGUACGUGUUUCUUUUUGUAUGUACCAUAUGUAUAAGCAUCGGCUAACUCCGUGCCAGCAGCCGCGGUAAUACGGAGGAUUCGAGCGUUAUCCGGAUUUAUUGGGUUUAAAGGGAGCGUAGGUGGUUAUUUAAGUCAGUGGUGAAAGUUUGUGGCUCAACCGUAAAAUUGCAGUUGAUACUGGGAGACUUGAGUACAGUUGAGGUAGGCGGAAUGCGUGGUGUAGCGGUGAAAUGCAUAGAUAUCACGAAGAACUCCGAUUGCGAAGGCAGCUUACUAAACUAUAACUGACACUGAAGCUCGAAAGCGUGGGGAUCAAACAGGAUUAGAUACCCGGGUAGUC
RNAcentral lists this ribosomal RNA (460 nucleotides) under uncultured bacterium. RNAcentral describes it as "partial 16S ribosomal RNA". It matches the Rfam family "Bacterial small subunit ribosomal RNA", at positions 338 to 795 of the family's 1533-position model. The record is from RNAcentral.